This 233-nucleotide ribosomal RNA is filed under the name uncultured bacterium. RNAcentral's name for it is "partial 16S ribosomal RNA". It matches the Rfam family "Bacterial small subunit ribosomal RNA", at positions 104 to 334 of the family's 1533-position model. The record is from RNAcentral.
CGGGACGGGGUGGAGUAAUGUCUGGGAAACUGCCUGAUGGAGGGGGAUAACUACUGGAAACGGUAGCUAAUACCGCAUAACGUCGCAAGACCAAGAGGGGACCUUCGGGCCUCUUGCCAUCGGAUGUGCCCAGAUGGGAUUAGCUAGUAGGUGGGGUAACGGCUCACCUAGGCGACGAUCCCUAGCUGGUCUGAGAGGAUGACCAGCCACACUGGAACUGAGACACGGUCCAG